RNAcentral lists this ribosomal RNA (397 nucleotides) under uncultured bacterium. Its description in RNAcentral is "partial 16S ribosomal RNA". It matches the Rfam family "Bacterial small subunit ribosomal RNA", at positions 523 to 918 of the family's 1533-position model. The record is from RNAcentral.
AUACGUAGGUGGCAAGCGUUGUCCGGAUUUAUUGGGCGUAAAGCGAGCGCAGGCGGUUUCUUAAGUCUGAUGUGAAAGCCCCCGGCUUAACCGGGGAGGGUCCUUGGAAACUGGGAGACUUGAGUGCAGAAGAGGAGAGUGGAAUUCCAUGUGUAGGGGGGAAAUGCGUAGAUAUAUGGAGGAAAACAAGUGGCGAAGGCGACUCUCUGGUCUGUAACUGACGCUGAGGCUCGAAAGCGUGGGGAGCAAACAGGAUUAGAUACCCUGGUAGUCCACGCCGUAAACGAUGAGUGCUAAGUGUUGGAGGGUUUCCGCCCUUCAGUGCAGCAGCUAACGCAUUAAGCACUCCGCCUGGGGAGUACGGCCGCAAGGCUGAAACUCAAAUGAAUUGACGGGG